ACGUUAAACUGGAGGAAGGUGGGGAUGACGUCAAGUCAUCAUGGCCCUUACGACCAGGGCUACACACGUGCUACAAUGGCAUAUACAAAGAGAAGCGACCUCGCGAGAGCAAGCGGACCUCAUAAAGUAUGUCGUAGUCCGGAUUGGAGUCUGCAACUCGACUCCAUGAAGUCGGAAUCGCUAGUUAUCGUAGAUCAGAAUGCUACGGUGAAUACGUUCCCGGGCCUUGUACACACCGCCCGUCACACCAUGGGAGUGGGUUGCAAAAGAUGUAGGUAGCUUAACCUUCGGGAGGGCGCUUACCACUUUGUGAUUCAUGACUGGGGGAAGUCGAACACGACAUGGCAC
This 348-nucleotide ribosomal RNA is filed under the name Klebsiella pneumoniae. Its description in RNAcentral is "bacterial SSU rRNA". It matches the Rfam family "Bacterial small subunit ribosomal RNA", at positions 1155 to 1499 of the family's 1533-position model. The record is from RNAcentral. Lineage: Bacteria; Pseudomonadati; Pseudomonadota; Gammaproteobacteria; Enterobacterales; Enterobacteriaceae.